Molecule: long non-coding RNA, 9765 nt
Organism: Cygnus olor (mute swan)
Lineage: Eukaryota; Metazoa; Chordata; Aves; Anseriformes; Anatidae
Exons: 3
Source: RefSeq, a predicted model, not a curated record
CCUGCCUCCAAAGCCAGCACCGCUGCGGCUCGGACGCCCAGGGCCGCGGUGGCCCCCGGGACCUGCCCGCUCCACAUCGGGGGGCUCCAUGCCGGGGGGCUCCGCGCCCACCCCCGGCCCUGCUGCCCUCGGCGGGUCGGGCAGAGGAGCCCCGCUGGGCUUCCCUCGCCCCGGGGGAACGGGGAAUCGGGGUCCCCGGCGAUGCCCGAGGGGCGAGCAGCGGUGAGGCUGGGCCCCGAGGAGCAGCCCGGGGGGGCUGCGGGAGCAGGGGCGAUGCCCCUGCCGUACCCCGUCCCCUGUACGUGGUGCUGCCCGUGCACCGUCCCCGCUCGGACGCAUGGAGCGUUUUCAGGCUUCUCCGUGCCUGUCAUAAAGUGAGGGCACUCUGCUCGGAGUUACGCUACCGAACGUGGCAGUUAAAAACAGGUACAAAUAUUCAAAUAGUGCUAACGCCUCGAAGUGCUGGUGGGUGAGAAGGGCAAGUGAAAACAAACCCGGGCAAGCACCAAAGACGGCGCAGCCAUGGGGCUCUGCGGACUCGUGCAGACUUGUGUGUCACCUCCUGCUUCUCACCACGACCUUUCCUUGCCCCGGCUGCAGAGGAUGCCUCCCCAUCCUGCUGCAGUGGCCUCAGCUGCUCUCAUCCCCAGCCAUCUUGCCCACCCCUGUGCUACACGGCUCCCAGCCCCAGAGCAAAGAUGGGAAAACACGGCCAAGGUGCUUGGCCACGCGUGGGCAGCUCAGAGGUAGGUGCUGGGCCAGGGUGGUGGUUGGGCUGCCGUGCAAGGGUCCGGCUCGCUAGCUGAGGGGCUGCCCCUGGGCUGUAGCCCCUGCAGCUGGCCCACGUCAAUCUGUCCCACGCAGACCAGAGCCCUGAGACAUCUGCCAAAAUUUACAUCUCCUUCUCCUGAUGCCUCAGUUCUCUCUGAGAAACAGCGUGGUCCUUCCUCCAUUCAAGCCUGUGAGAUACUUGGAGGCUGCUGCCUAAACGGACACAGAACUGCCUAAAAUUGGGAAGCGUGGCCUUCCUCCUUCUCACAGACAGGCACACGGUCUUCCCGCGCAGGACUGGGACCCGAAGGCGCAGAGGAGUGCGAUGCAGCGCGUGCUGCACGCUGCUGUCCCUGCCUCUCUGCUAAUUUAGCGACAGACUUGGCAGUGGGUGAGUUCAGCAACUUUAGUGGGCAAAUGUUCCUGCUUUUAAGCUCCAACUGUCAUUCAUUCAUGGCAGGAAUCUCACUUGCCAACUCAGUACAGAACAUUAGGACCAAAUACAAAUUCCAAAAUUAUGCCAGUUCUCCCGAGCUGUGCCGCGUUACAUAACGGCCGAUAGCACGGGGCGCUCUCCUCCGCCGCGUUGAUAGUCUCAAUCAGGCAGAGGCACUGUGGGUGGAACUCUUAUCGCACCAGGCUGACUCCCCAUGAAUGAGCAGAGGACUUGCGCGUUCUAGAAAUAGCAUGUGCAUUAGUAUUGCACGAUGAGGAACUUGGGCACGCUGCUUUCCCUCUUCUCUUUUUUUUUUUUUUCUCUUUUAAUAAAAGCUCAAAAUAAACUCCAACCCAGCAAGCGCAGCACACACAGCGGCGAGUCCAUGCAGGAUCACAAACAUAUGAGCACCAGGUGACUGAAAGAUUUCGUUAUAGGCUGCUCUAGGCAGGACCCAGAAUAAAAUGCUGAACUUGAGGAGAGUUUUUCCAGCGGUUACAGCAAGGUCUGAGAUCUCAGCCUGCCCCUGCUUGCACAGCACUGAGCACGACAGAGCCCUGAACCUUGACUGGACUUUUGGGGGAUGACAAUAAAAUGACCACACAAAGCACUCAGGAGGCAGACUUUCAGAUACCAAACCCCUCCUUUGAAGUCUACAGUUCUGCUUGUGCAUAGGCAGGCAGGGGAGGCACUAACUAUGCUAUAAACAAUGCCAGUAAAAUCUCACUUUUAAUCGAAUGUUUAAUUUCAGCCAAACCCCGGUGUUAGUUCUUACUGCUCCAGAAGUUAUAGCUAGCUUUUCACUUUGUAUCUUAUUAAUAUUUGUGUAUCUUUCUAUAAGUGUGUAACAUGCCCCUGACAGCUUGUAUCCUACGUUUCAAGCCAACAUAAUUUAAACUUUGUGCAUUUAGAACUUGACCUAUAAUGCAAAUCCAUACAGUCUUAAUUAUAGCAGCACCAGCAGCCACUGUGCAAGUGUAAUAGUCGAGCUUUCGUUACUAAAGAGGCACAGUAGUUAAGGUCUGUCAGUGUUCCUGUUACAAUCCCCAUCUUGAAGAGGUUAUAACUCGGGCUGUGUAAAUUUGAUUGAGCUGAAACUUGGGACUCAGACUGUCAGUCCAUAUAGGGAAUUAUCUUAUGAAUAAUUGGCUAACCCAUUGCUUGAUUCACAGACCUUUAUAAAAUGAUUUUUAAUGGGUUUUAAUGUUUUUUUCUUUUACUGACAUCUAGGGUAUGAAUUUGGUACUUCUAGCUCUUUUGAAGCUCCAUAUUGAGCAGCAUAUGUAUAGGUACAUACAUUAAAGCUCUGCAGCAACACACGGGGCAUGCAUGCCACACUUCCACAUCUAUGUGUACACAUAUACAGAUGAAGACACCGUGUGAGAGAAGUGCCACUUAAUCUAUGUCAGAAGAGAGUCCUAAACGUGUAAGAUAAAGAACAGAACUGCCUCCGAGAGAAGGGAACUAAAGCUCCUGAGAAGCGUUCCUCGGUCCUGUUGUGAUCCGCCGCUAGCGUAGCAGCAGUCAGGCGGAUUUACACCGGCAUGGUAUCACUGAACCAGCAAUCUGAAAUGCAGUCCUAGUGCGUUCCUGCACAGGGAGCGGGCCACCUCGGUUAUCUCCAGAUGCAGUGGGGAUAGCUGGGGACAGGUUGCUUUGUUAUCUUUGUUAACAGUUUCUUAGAAUCUUUCAUCUUUGGGGGCUUUUUCUUCCCCCAAAGCGUGUGGAAGUGAGUCCCACAUGUGCCUUGGCAUCAGAACAGUCGUCAUGAUUGCACUUUGAAAGGGAUGAGCCAUUUCACUUUGAACACUGAGCUUAAGUAUGGCUUUGUGUUACAAAGAAUUUUACUGAGAAUUGCUCUCCAGAAUGCUUCUCACUAGUUUUAAACUUCUGUUGCUUAGAGAAGGUUAUCACUUCAAAUCACACUCAGCUGGUGAGGCUGUGGACUUGGAAUUUUCCUUAACCCCAGCAGAAAAAGAUGGAAAGCCCAGAGCUAGAAAGAUGAGCCACAGACCUUGAACAGAUUGCUCUAAUGGACCCAGAUCCCACAAAGUCCAUGCCCACCUUGCUGAAUGGUUACAGAGCAGGGACACGGUCCUUGUAGUCAUUUCUGAGAUUCCAAGUCAUCCACUUACUUACGCAGGUUGCUGUCCUCAAGCUUAUGAGCCGUAAGGAGAACACAUCAUUGACACAAGUGUCUUUUGGAUUCAUUUUCUUUCUGACUAUAGCUGCUAGGUUUGGGGAGAUCCCUAGCUAGUCCAAGGUAAAGAAUUAUGGCCAAUUCGGGCCACCGGCGCAGAGCACCCGGCAUGGAUGUGGAAGGCUCCCAGCAAACUCCUGGUGAGGCUCACAGCAGGAAGAAGUGGCGAGUCUGGCUCUGCCCUGGGUCCUGACUUCUUGCAGCUUUCCAAAUGGACAGGAGUAACGGUGCCUGGUGUUGAGGCAUGCCAGAAAGAAGCUUGUCUCCUGGUUCCAGUUCGCUGUGAACCUGGUGCAUGAUGGGCACUGUCUGCGGGCACCACCGUUCUAUAUGUAUGUAUGUAUGUAUCUAAACAUUGCUCCCGCAAGUUAGCAGGACUGUUUAAAAGAGCAGUAUGUUCAACAAUGGCACAGUCGUGCCUCAUUGCCAAAUGUCUGUUAAUCAGAGAAGGCACGGGGAGCUCAGCAGAGCUGGUCUGAGCCUGACCAAAUGAACUAUGUGGGGCAUCUGAUCUUUUUACAUAGCCAUUGCUUAUGAACAAGAUUUUGUCAGGAUCAUUUGGAGAAGCUUUUCAUGCUUCUGUGAAAGAUCAGACCCGAGGGGCUCAAGCUCUCAUCAUCCCUAUGAGAAAAUCUGGAAAGCUCUACUCUGGAUGUGGCAGGCAGGAAGAAGUGGAAUUGCAAACAUUUUGUCUUGAAAAAUAAAUCCAACUAUACCUCAAUCGAAUCAAAUAAGAAUUGUAGAAUAAUAAAAAUAAUUCAUUAAGCUGAGGCACACAAUACAAGCAUCAGCAAUCAAAAAAAGUUAUUUCCAUUGAGAAAUUAGUUUUGCUACACAGGAUGAGGAAAGAUUUAGUCCCUUCGACUUCCCAGCACACUUGGCUUGAGUGACAACAGGGAAGGGUAGUGCAAUAGAAAAUGAUUUCCCUCCUCUAAUCCUGCUCGAUAUAUCCCCCUGCCAGAGGAAUCUGCUUGGUCUUGGGUACUGCAAAAUUCUUAAGCAUAUAUUUAUCUUUGGGCACAUCAGCUGUACUUCCAUGCCUAAAGUAAGCAUGUGGUCAAGUAUUUUGUUAGCCUGGCGCCUUACCAUCUUUUGGAAACAACUUUUAUUACGUUGAUUUUUAGAGCUUCAACUUUUAAUCACUAAGAGUGCGUUUAACUGAAAUUUAACAUAUAGAUUCAUCAUUCUCUGUAUUAAUUUUGUACUACUGUUUCAGAUGACAUUUAGUUUUAGCUUUUAGUUUCAGCAAAGAAGACAUGCACAUGCUUUGCAGAACAUGGUAUAGUUUGUGUGAGGAUCUAGAUGAAAAGAAAGAAUUAAUUGUUGAGAUAGCAGAGAUCUUCUGCAUUCAAAAUAAAAAUAAAAACAGCCAUACUGUGGGGAGUUUUUUCUUUGCCACAUUUAUCCCAUGCAACUCUUUAUGUGCAAGAUUUCAGCUUAAUUGUUAGAAUGCUUACAAUAAUAUUUUAAUGCAACUCUGUAGUCAGACUAAUAUAUUAUUACAUAGCUCAGAGCUGCACAGAAAGAUGCAGUGCUGAGGCGCAACAGGAGUGGUGGUGAAUAACAUAUGAUAAGAGCGCGCUUCUUUGAGCAGUUUGGAUAGUUUUGCCACCAUUUGUUAUUGUCAGCACAUAUAAUUUUUACAGUACGGUAUGAAUUCUGACUGCAGUGAGAAAAAUGCCUUCUACCGCCAGUAUGAAUAAGAUUUCACUCAAUUAGAAUAACAUGCAAGUGUAUCAUACAGCAUUACAUAGAAAGCUGAUAUGCAUUAAGUAUGAAUGCUGGGGCUGGGGGGGAGUUAUUGUACUAAUGCUAUUGUUCGGUGAGCAACUAUUCCCCAGCAGAUUAAAAAAAAAGCGAAGGAAAUUAAAUUCAGAAAUCAGAAAUAUGUACAAUGUUUGAUAUCACCUUACUGAAAUUAAUGUAUUCACCGCUGAAACUUUGCUGUGCCCCACCGCAUUAUGUCUCACAGCAUCUGUGUGCCCAGAGAGAGAGAAGCAGAGGUAAACACAGAGAGAGAUCCACAGACUAACGGUAAAUGCUGGCAGUUUCAUGGCACCAGUCUUCAAAUGCUGCUUCCCACUGGUGUCAGUAAGAAGUUUGGUCUGAAGAUGGCCGCAGAAGUGCGGUCCAUCGCCAUCAUGCACUCCCCGACACCCCAGUGGCGUGACGCACUGCAACCCCCUGCUCCUGGACACCCCAUGCGGUUCUGAGCAGCUCCACAGCACCUGAAGCAGCUGAAGGUAUCCAACGCGUGGGGAUGGAUGGGGAUGCAGCCACGACCGUUCCUGCAAGGAAGGCCAAAAGUGCCCGGGAGCCGAGGUGUAUCUCAGAGAGCCAUUGUACUCGGAGCCAAUAAAACUGAAACUAUUCUCAAUUGAGACCUAAUUAGCUUUUAUAUUCAAAGCUGUACUGCACAUUUGUACAUUGCUUAUGAGUGGGACUAAAAAAUAUAUGUACCAUGACACUAUACUUUUAAAGAGUCUGUUGAAUGCUUUUCCCAUUCUCCAAGGAUUGCCUCCUCCUUGGAUGUAUACAUUCAGUGAAUAUGAUGAGGCUAAUUAUUUUUCCCUGAAACGAUCGCUGCAUUUCUCUGGCAGUUUACACCAAAUCAUGGACCUCGCAUCUUCGGCCUUGGAACUUAAAAUAAAACCAACCCUGCGUUCCAAUCCUAAGACAAAAAACUGCUUGGUAAACAAGUUUCCUGCCCCAGGCUUUACAAGGAUCGCUCUUGUAUCAGAGUCACCAUGCACGUCUGAUCCUUUUUCUCCAUUUUUUCGAGGGGGUUAUAUAUUUUUCUGUUACCUUUCCUGCCUGUGAAGCAAUCAGAGAGAACGGCAGGAGGCACCAUAAAUAUGCAAAUUGCUGCCAGAUAACUGGUUUCGCUGGUUCCGCCUUGGGAAGCGGCAGCGCCGCAGGGGGGGUCCCUGGGGCCGGCCGCCCCCUGCGCCCCCAGGCCCACUGCAUUGCCCUCCCCACUGGCAGCAGCCGUGGAGGUGCUCGGUUGCCCGCGGUGUGGAGACCGCUCCUUUCGUCCCACUGCUGCACCAGCCCGUGGCUCACACUUGCACGUGGCCUUUCUGCGUGCAUGUCUUUCAUACUUUGCACUUCUACUCCAAGGGGGGUAGAGUCCCCUUCACGCACCCCCAGCACGCCCCUGGAAGCGCAAUGUCACUUUCCUCCACGGGCAGCUGGAGCCAUCGCUCGCCAAGACGCAGGCUGGCAGGACCAUGUCGUCCCUGCUGGGUGGCACUGGGCAAAACCCAGCAGUACUUGGGUGUGGAUCUGUGGCCUGAAACACAUGCUCAGGCCCCGUCCUUCCUAACUCAGCAUUUGAGAGAUUAAAAGCAACCGCUGGUUUCCAAAUUAAAAACAUGUUAAAAUGAAAGUUUAAUUCAUGGUUAAAUGCUUGCAAAAGUACAUGAGGCCAUUUUAAAAAUCACAGAGAGAAAACAUGAUCUUUUUUGGAUUUGGAGUUUGCUCUGUUCUUAAAUUCAAAACAGUGCUGCUCACUGCACUAACGUUUUGCAGGGCAUUCAUCAAGACCAUAGACUGGGCAUUGGGUAUUUGUGCAAACACCCAGGAGAGUGAGAAGGAAAACAUAAACCGCAGAAGAGUUACUACAGAUAUUAACUUUUAAGCCAGAAAAGCAAGACAGCUGAAAGAGCGAGUGGGGGAAUUGGCUCCAUCACUCCGCACCCGUCUCGGUUUCCUACAGCUGAAGCCUCUGGACGGCAGAUCGCAUCAGGACAAUGUUGGGCUCGCCACGCACCAGAGGACGACUUGGGCGAGGUGUUGCCACUCUGUCUCUGACGUCCCUUCUUUCUGUACCUUUAGGUCUCACAGGGAAGGAGAAUUAGUGUGGACGGAUGGGCACAGGCUGCAGACAGAUCCACCUCCAUGUGGGACAGAGUGGGUGGCAAUGGCCUUGUCCAUAGAGAAGGAAUCUGAACUGCAAACUAGUAACAGCAAUGGUUUGAUUGCUGGAAAAGGUUGACUGCUAGAAAAGGAAAACCAGUGCACCGCACAGCAGUUGGGAAUCGAAGCCCUUCUUUACCAGAACCCCUGCCACAUACGUACUGUCACUCACCUUCCAGACACUCAGUACAACCAUUCAAUCUAUUGAAUCAAGAGACUGUUUGAUCUUAUCUGCAUCUGUGAGCUGACUGUCAACCUGCUUAGGCUGCAUAUUAAAUCAUCUAUAGUAGCUGUAUCAAGCUGGGAUGAUCUGUUAAUUCUAAAUUUAUUAACCCUUGGAGUGCAGUCAUCGUGUUUAAUCUAGUGUAGCCAGCAUUUAUUUUACAAGACUAAAUCCUUCUUUAAGAUAUGGCUGUGCAGUAGGUUAAAGAAUCAUUAAUGUGUAGGAGAUGGUAAUUGGGAAGAGCUCACUUUGAUCUUUGGAAGCCAGCUGACAGCAUCGCUGCUCCAAACACGUAUGUGUGUGUGCUCGCGUCAUGCUCGCGUGUCCGGCAUGCGGGGUGUGUACAUGUGUACACGCCUGACCACAUUUCCUCACAGAAAGAGUUUUGCCUGAGCCAAGAAAGAAGAGAGGCCUCAAACAAUGCCUUAGCCCCACACCGCCACGAAGACUUCAAAUCGAAAAUCUACGUCACAGCGCAGCACCAUAGCGCAGGCUGGGAGACUGCAGGCAGGGUCUGGCCGUGAGCGAAGAGCAAACCUCUCCUCCGAGUCCGCUCCCGGUCUCAGUCCAUACCUGCCCUCCAAACCAACUGCCAUGCGUCCACAGAGCGCUGUGGGCUACGGCCACCGCAGGACUCGCAACAAGUCGAGUGCUGCUAUCCGCCUGCAUAUAAAUGUACCCCCUCCCAGACACAGAUACACACACAAGUAAAUUUAUAUAGAUAUAUACAUGCAGAUAAAUAUGUUAAUCUGUUCGUUAUACACACCCAGCCCUCCCUGCCUCUCUCCCCUGUUAUCUAUUCUACUUGCACGUUGCCGAUGGUAUCAACAUAUUCACAGCUUUUAUUUCAGUCACAAACUGCUAGGCAUGCUUCCUUUUUUGGUAAUCACGUGCCUGGUAUCUCUCUAAUGUAGCCUAAUAACAAUUUUAGCAUUCAGAUGAAGCGAUUUCAUUCUGUGACUGCCUUUUCUAUUAGAUUUGAUUCUGAGAAGCCCCAGUGGGUGCCUCCAAGGCAGAGAUCUAUCUGUGAGGCUGCAACCGAUUCAAUAGCAGCCUGAGCUAACCUUGACCUUUCCCUAGACCCUGCUCCAUCUGGUGCCAGGCUGGUCCCCCCCUUCUCCUCCUCCUUGCUUCACAGUCAGCAUUGAUCAAGGCGGAAUCGAGCGUCUCUCUCCCUCCAAGGGCUGGGCAGUCACGGGAAGGACAGCACAUUUCAAUAUAUGGAAAUGAUCAAGCCUCUUAUGCAAUCAUAAAUCUACACGGAGGCUGGUGAUUUGAUAUUUCAUCCACCUCCACAGAUUCUCCCCCUCCCUCCCCCCAGCAGGGAUUUAUAAACGAUAAGACAGCGGCUUUCCCCAACACCUGGAAAUUAUAAAGCUGGCUGUUUAUUGGGAAUGAAUGCCUGGCGAUUUGAUCUGAUUUACUUGGCGUUUCAUUUAUCUGCUUGCAACUCGUUCCGUUGUUUUCCCGCGUCCUUGGGUUACGCGUGCCCCCCCCUUUCUUUCUGCCGUUUCCCCCGUUCAGGUGGUGGGGGUGUUUUGGUGCUGCCGCGGGCAGGCACAGGGUGAGCUGGGCGGCUCGCUGCACACCCGAGCCCCGCUCCAUACCGGGCACCGAGUGCUGGGUCGCUGGGGCGCCUUUCGAUCUCCGGAAACGAGCAGAGGCUCCUGCGAUAAAUCAGCGCUCGCCACUUCGCCACUUCCCUAGUUCUGCUUCGUUUUCUUCCUCCCUUCCCGGCGCUCGGCUGCCGCUCCCCAUCUCCACCACCCCACCGCACCCCGAGUGGAAACGCUCCGUGCCCCCACACCCCCACGGGGCACAGGCCUGGCCCUGCAGCGCUCAGCUCCUUGCCUGUGCUGCUUGCGGAAUGCUGUUCUGUGCGCCUCUCUGUGCCCCUCCGCACUGCAGGGCUGACCUCUCUGGGCCCUGCUGUGGGCUGCCGGUGCCCCCGCAGUGACAUGGUGCUUGUGUGUGCUCCCACAGGUGUGUGACAACAGGCAGGUGGCCGGCACGUCCCUGCUCUCAUCUGGUGGCUCGCCAGGCUGGUCGCAGGAUUUACAAGCAGUGAUUUGAGUCAUUUUCCCAAGAAUUCCUAACAUUGCCACACUUGCUCAUCUCGUACCAGCCUUGAGAUUAUAUAACAGAUUAUGUAAAAUUAUAAUGACAAUAUAAUAUAUGCACACGCUAAUUAUUAUAUAUAGUUUCCUGCAUAUAUAU